ACCUACACCUAUUUGGACAAAAGUUAUCCACGAGCGUUAGCAAUACAACACCAUUUAUGUAUAGUCUAUGGCAAUAUCUAGCAUCAAUCAAAUUUGAAAUUCAAAACCCUGUGUUUCCGUCCUUACCAAAUGAAAUCACACAAACAACUAUAAAUAAACAGUUAUUAUUCUAAAUUGAGAAUAAGUUGUUAUUAUAACGUUAAAAAUGACUUCCAUGCCUUCUGAUUCCGAGUCUAACGUGAGUGGUUUUAUAAGUUAUAGCGACAAAAAUUUUAAGUUCCUUUAUACAUCUAUGAUUGAGAACAUGGAACUAAUAAAUCAAGAUCUGUUACAUAUAGAGAAAAAUAUGAAGAAUAUUGUGCAGCAAUCUGGCCCACUGGAAAGUCAGUUAAAUGUGUUAUUGCAAACUUUACCGAGACCAAACAUACCUUUGCCGAUGGAAACAGAGUAAAUGAAAAUGAAGAUAAAUGAUCACCCAUAUUAGCUUAUAAGAUAUACUUUAUUCAAUAAAAUUCAAUAAUUACAAAAAGAAUGUAGUGACUGGAGGUUCUAUUUUUUACAAAAUAUGUAAUAGGUAUUUAUGUUACAUUUAGAUUAAGAUAUCACUGGGUUACUGGGAUUAUGCUGGUAAGAUUAAAACAUAGGAAAUUGAUUUUUUAUUACGAUCAACCUAGUAAUAAAUAUAUAGCUUCCAUAUUAAUGUACUUAUUAUUUAUAAAAAUUUAUGUACAUUUAGAAAAUUUAUCAUGAAAUAUUAUUUAAUGGAAUGUAUAAUACAAAGAAACUUGAUUGAAUAAUGUUGCUAACUCUCAUUUAUUAUUUGUGUUACACAACAGAGGAUAUAUAAUUCAUAGUAGGAAAUUUGUUUGUUUUGUUUAUAUUUAUUCGGUACUUAUAGUAAAAAGAUUACAAAAAUGGUGUUGUGUUCUAUUUCUACACUAAUAUAAUAAAGACUGUGUCCCCGACUGUGUGGACGUGGGAAA
Long non-coding RNA from Zerene cesonia (dogface butterfly), 983 nucleotides. RefSeq lists it as uncharacterized. The record is from RefSeq and is a predicted model, not a curated record. Lineage: Eukaryota; Metazoa; Arthropoda; Insecta; Lepidoptera; Pieridae. The transcript has 2 exons.